ACUAAAAUAGCUCAAAAAGAGCGUCGCAUUGAAGCUGCGGAGGUGGCUUUUCUGCCUUUUAGUA
RNAcentral lists this transfer RNA (64 nucleotides) under Ibla cumingi. RNAcentral's name for it is "tRNA-Phe". It matches the Rfam family "tRNA". From Rfam's summary of the family: Transfer RNA (tRNA) molecules are approximately 80 nucleotides in length. The record is from RNAcentral. Lineage: Eukaryota; Metazoa; Arthropoda; Thecostraca; Iblomorpha; Iblidae.